RNAcentral lists this ribosomal RNA (461 nucleotides) under uncultured bacterium. RNAcentral describes it as "partial 16S ribosomal RNA". It matches the Rfam family "Bacterial small subunit ribosomal RNA", at positions 338 to 795 of the family's 1533-position model. The record is from RNAcentral.
CCUACGGGAGGCAGCAGUGAGGAAUAUUGGUCAAUGGCCGGAAGGCUGAACCAGCCAUGCCGCGUGAAGGUCAGUGCCCUAUUGGCGUUAAACUUCUUUUGUGCGGGAGCAAUAAUGGUCACGUGUGGCCAGACGAGAGUACCGUACGAAUAAGGAUCGGCUAACUACGUGCCAGCAGCCGCGGUCAUACGUAGGAUCCGAGCAUUAUCCGGAGUGACUGGGUGUAAAGAGUUGCGUAGGUGGCAUAAUAAGUAGCUAGUGAAAUCUGGUGGCUCAACCAUUCAGACUAUUAGCUAAACUGUUAAGCUCGAGACCGUUAGGGGUAACUGGAAUUUCUAGUGUAGGAGUGAAAUCCGUAGAUAUUAGAAGGAACACCAAUAGCGUAGGCAGGUUGCUGGGACGGUUCUGACACUAAGGCACGAAAGCGUAGGGAGCAAACGGGAUUAGAUACCCUGGUAGUC